Molecule: transfer RNA, 76 nt
Filed under: Candidatus Woesearchaeota archaeon
Lineage: Archaea; Nanobdellati; Candidatus Woesearchaeota
Description: tRNA-Ile
Rfam family: tRNA
About the family: Transfer RNA (tRNA) molecules are approximately 80 nucleotides in length.
Source: RNAcentral
GGCCCCGUAGCUCAGCCUGGUUUAGAGCGCUGGUCUUAUAAGCCAGCGGUCCCGUGUUCAAAUCACGGCGGGGCCA